This 30-nucleotide unclassified non-coding RNA is filed under the name Dictyostelium discoideum. Lineage: Eukaryota; Evosea; Eumycetozoa; Dictyosteliales; Dictyosteliaceae. The record is from RNAcentral.
UCGUAGGGUUAUACUUGGGUGAGAGUGGUC